CCGGCGACCGGCGGACGGGUGCGUAACGCGUAUGUAACCUACCUUUGACAGGGGGAUAACAUCGAGAAAUUGGUACCAAUACCCCAUAACAUCACCGGAGGCAUCUUCGGUGGUUGAAAACUCAGGUGGUCAGAGAUGGACAUGCGUUGUAUUAGCUAGUUGGUGAGGUAACGGCUCACCAAGGCGACGAUACAUAGGGGGACUGAGAGGUCAACCCCCCACAUUGGUACUGAGACACGGACCAAACUCCUACGGGAGGCAGCAG
Molecule: ribosomal RNA, 265 nt
Filed under: uncultured bacterium
Lineage: Bacteria
Description: partial 16S ribosomal RNA
Rfam family: Bacterial small subunit ribosomal RNA
Source: RNAcentral